This is an RNA transcript of Mauremys mutica (yellowpond turtle), 7547 nucleotides long. It is a transcript of the gene named zinc finger protein 585A-like, with no coding region annotated. The transcript has 7 exons. Lineage: Eukaryota; Metazoa; Chordata; Testudines; Geoemydidae. The record is from RefSeq and is a predicted model, not a curated record.
CCCCCUGCAUAUGCUCAACUCCUUGCUUAUGGCCUGUGUUUUGGGUGGUGGCUCCUAUUGUUUCAACCAUCUUAUUCCAUGAAGGACUUAAUUGUUUCUUACAUUUAUCCUGAAUGAAGGGCAGCUUUACCCCCACCCGCUUCAAGUGUCCACCCAGCCCCAGCACAUCGGGCACUAGCUCUGGGCACUAUGGGAUGGAAAAGCCCAUCAGCACCUCCCACAUCAAGAGGCUAUCCCAUGUAUGCCUUGGAAAGUGCUUUCUGGGUGGGGAAAGCAGUGGUUUCCAUGUAUGUCUUUAUGGGAGGUGGUUGAGGAUCACCAUUGCUUGCCUCACCUGAUAUAGGUAGGUCAGGAGUGGUCCUCCCCAGCAGUUAUAUGGGAGUGAAGAGAGGGUGUACAGUGGUCCCAGGGUCUCUCCUCUUCUGUGCUUCCUGCAGUGCUAAUGUGGAGGCUGGACCCCAUCCCCUCCUGCCUCCCUGACAUCUCCCUCUCUGAGCCAAACCUGUCCCUGGCUGCCUGCCAGUCGGGAGGCCCCUCUGCACGGGGAGCCCAGCUCUGUUGUCUUUGUAAAUAGAACGAGGGGCCAGCAGAGGGAUUUCUCUGGUUUCGUUGCAAAGUUCCUGUGAGUUUUCCUCUCCACACUCCAAUGGCCCCUCCAGCAGGCUUGGCCUCUUCCCUUCCUUUUGGCUUCUUCCUGGGGCUGGGAUGCGCACACGGCUUCCUGGUGUGUGCCGGGCAAUGCCUCACUUGUUUCGCGUGGGAGUGUGGCUUCCUGACGAGAGCUGGGGACUGGAAGUCAGGAUGCCUGGGUUCCGAACUCAGCUCUGCCCUGAUUUCCUGAGUAGUGCUGGCCAAGUAAUUUCCUGUGCCUCGGUUUCCCCAUCUGUAAAUGGGGGAUGAUUCUCUUUGUGCCGCAGAGGUCCGAGUGCCUGAUUCUGCGCUGCUGGCACUUCCGCAGUUACCCCCGAUCCUCACCGGGUGAGAUCAGCACAGCUCCUUACUCUGGUGCACUACUCCAGUUCCAGGAAAGGUUGAGAACCGCUGAUCCAAAUGAGCUUCCUUAACUGCUUCCUGUCUUACCGGCCGAGUACUGAGAGUGGUUCUGCCUGGUAGGCUCAGAGACUCACCAAGAGCUGCCACAGCACUAAUGGAGCUGGCGGGGGCUUUUAUUAGAAUUUGUGGCCCAAUACAUCUGAGGGUGCAUCAGAGAAGAUGAGUGUGGAAGUCCCUCGGCCACACCCAGUCACCAGUGUCUAACCGGCCUGAUGACACUUGGCAUGAAACUUCUUGCCAGUCCUUGCCUGGGACUUCUUCCCCGACACUACCCCUAGGCUGCAUAGCUUAGCUGGUAUCCAUAGUGCCCUCUUGUUCCUCAAAUGCUCUCGCGAACCAGGAGGAACAUGGAUUUUAAAGCAUCUGAAGGUGCUGAAGUUCAAAGCCUGUUUUCUUAGCUCAAAUUCUGGUCCGUGGUUAUGCAACAUUUCCCAGUGAGUAGCUUUCCUGCAGGGUGCUGUGUCCUUCCAGCACCAGCCCAGGGUGAACAUUUCCCUUCAAAGCAGAGCAUUUGGGCACAGAUGAAGAUGAAAGUGCAGAAAGCUCCACACAGAGAGGGUAGAAGAGAUGAGGCGUUUUCAAUAAAUGCUCCUGCCCCAGAAAAGUGGAACUAAUGGCAUUUGCGACGUAAAGCAGGUGCUCUGCCCGCUCAGCGCACACAACAUCACCUCCAGGAUUAGCUACAGCAAGGCUCCUCUGCUGCCAGGGAGAAAAAUCACUGGAGAGGAGACUGGAGGUAAUUCCUCCCUCAUUACUAUGGACAUCUGGGACAGUUCAGUUAAAGUGCAGGGUAAGCCUGGGUCCGAAUCCCAGCUCUGAUACUCGCUAGCUGCAAGGCCUGAGGAAAGUUCCUUCCCAUCCAUGUCUCCAUUACUGCCUGCUACCUUGGAGUGCUUUGGGGAUCGGCUAACCGCUUUGGAAAUGGGAUGUUCUCUGUCAGCGCGACGGGUCAGGCACUGAGAGGUGUGCAGCUCUCCUGACUUCAGUGGGGAGCUGACAAGCAGCCCCUCCGAAAAUCAGGGGCUGAGUGCAGUUGUCAUGCCCAUCAGACUUAACCCUUCAUGUGCUAGCUAGUCAGAGUUGGAACGCAAACACUGGCUACUUUGUGAAGGUGUGGCAGGGGCUGUAGUGUAUGAAUCGGGGAGGGUUUCUGGCAGCUUCGGAUGAGGGUGGGGCUCUUGUCCGGAGUGCUGCCAUUCUAUACAUCCCCCCGCCCCAUUCUGCAUUCUGUGCUGGUCCCCCUUUCUCAGACAAGAUAGCGCAGCAAUAGGAUAGGAAGGGGGUAGAGACGGAGCCGAGGCCGGGAGAGAUUGAAAAGACUGGGCCAGUUCAGUGGAGAGAGGAGGAGACAAAGAUGACUGGCUAGGCAGGUAAAUCAGGGCUCCACACUGCCAGAACAAAGGGCCAUUCCGUGACUUGAAAGGCAGCAGGUGGAGAACUCCUCAAAGGAAGGAACUGGUGCGUAAUUCACCUGUAGGACUCUCAGCCACAGGCUAGCGCUAAGGCCGGGAGUCGCUGAAUAAGUGAAACAAACGAUGGGCUGGGGGGAAAUUCGCCGCAUUCCUGCUUCCUGCGGCGCUACCCUUCAGGGCUGUGGGUCUAGCCCAGCUGAGGGGCUGGGAUAGAGGGGCGGGCUGGCUGUAUGCUGUACCGGGGGCUGCUGGGAGCUGUAGUUUUCUCUCCCCUCCCCCGUUGUGUACUGUGAAGCAGGCUAGGCAGCACUCACGUGUGGUGCAUCCUCUCGCCAGCAUGGACUACAAGUCCCAGGAGUGCUGAGCGGGCUGGUCUUGGGGAAGUUUGCAAUAACAGGGCUCUGUGAAUUCAGUACAGCGCCUGGGCUUCGCUGGACUCUUUCCCUAAGAUGGCUGGAGAGAGGUGGGAUGAAAGCGUCGGUCAGGUCUCUCUCUGAGCAGCUUCCAGCCUUUGGGUUGUGCCUCUCUCCUGUCCCCAGCCCCCGCUUAUUAGCUCUCCUUGCUGUCAGUGCAGGGAUCUGCAGCAGCCCCUCGAAGAAGCUGGGAGAAGGGACGAUUCGAGUUGCCAAUCCUAGUAAAAGGUGAAGGGACAGGAUCUCGUCCUCACAUCCUCCACACAGGAUCCACGGCAUCUUCCACCGAGGCGUCUCCGAUGGGAAAGUGCCUGCAGGGGGUGCUGCCCAGGUGCUGGUGACGUCUGAGGAUGGCAGGGUCUGUUUCUCCCCGGCGGAGUGGGCGGCGUUAGCGGAAUGGCAGAGGGAGCUGUACUGGGACUAGGAGCUGGUCACCUCGCUGGGUGAGGACUGUCUGCUGCACAGGCUAGAGGCGAAAGCAGCUCCCCGGGAAGAGCGAUCAGCCUGGGCCCCUGGUGGAGCAGGGUCUGCGAGCCCCAUCCCCCACACAAGGCAGGGAGGCUGGGGUAGCCAUGUCCGAAGAACCGCACCCCUCAAAGGAGGGAGCGGGAUGGCACAGCGAACUGGAGCUGGGCUGUGGAACCUUUUCUCGCGGCGUCACCAGUUCAAAUCCAGGCCACCCAGCUCUCAAACCUGAUUUCUUGUUCCGGAUUGAACGAGGGGAACAACCAGGUGUGGGGGUUCAGCUGGUCUCUGGUGGCUUAGAGCGUCCGCCAGAUCCCUGCGCAGGCUAUGGAUUUUUCAAGCCCGAUGGUUUAUUCCGUAUUGAGCAAUGGGAGGAGCGCUACAUGGAGGCUCAGCAGAAACUGGAGGAGAGCAAGAUCCUCGGAAGUGCCUGCGUAGCAGAGCACGGGGGUGCGAACACAGUCGAGCAAGAAGAGAACUCGGAGAGCUUUGCUGCAGACUUAGAGCUGUCGCCCGUGGUCUGUGACAGUUCCGACGGCUCGUUUCACAGUCGGCAGCUGGUAUCCAAGAGGCAGCAGAGAAACCCGACAAGGAUCAAGAUGGAAGAAUCAGCUGGCUUCAGCAAGUGUUCAGAUGCCGUCGUACGUCAGCUAGGGGCUGGGCCUUUCCAGUGUGCCGAGUGCGGGAAGCGCUUCCGGCAGAAGCAGAGCCUCAUCACGCACGAGAGGAUCCACACGGGAGAGAAGCCCUACAGAUGUCCAGACUGCGGGAAGAGCUUCAGCCAGAAGCCCAACCUCCUGACUCACCGGCGGAUCCACACCGGGGAGCGGCCCUUCUCCUGCACGCAGUGUGGGAAGAGCUUCAGCCAGAAGGCCAAUCUCAUUGCCCACCAGAGAACCCACGUGGGGGAGAAGCCGCCGCAGUGGGGCGGGCUUGGGGGGAAGCCAAAGUCCCCAGCACAGCAGGGAGACCAGGAGGAAAAGCGGCCGUUCGUAUGCCCCGAGUGCGGGAAGAGCUUCACGCAGAAACCCAACUUGGUGACUCACUACCGGACCCACACGGGCGAGCGGCCCUUCAGCUGUGCCCAGUGCGGGAAGAGCUUCAACCAGAAGACCAACCUGGUGACUCACUACAGGACCCACACCGGGGAGCGGCCCUACGCCUGCCCCCAGUGUGGGAAGCGCUUCACCCAGAAGACCAACCUGGUGACUCACCAGAGCACCCACACGGAUGCGCGCCCCUACCCAUGCGGGGAGUGCCAGAAGUGCUUCAAGGACAAGGUGUCCCUGAAAGCGCACCAGAGAACCCACAGCCUAAGCCAGCCCAGACCCUGUGGGAAUCCAGAGCCAAUCCCACUCCACAGUCCCCCCGCCGUGCCGCUCCAGCCCGCAGGUGCUGAGCAGGAGAGCCAGCGUGACCCCACUCAGCCGGUGCUAGCCCAGAAGAUCCCCGGAAGCCAGGCACUGUGCACGUGCACUGACUGUGGUAGCAGCUUCCCCCAGAAACAGCACAUCCCACUGCCCCAGCAAACCCCCUCAGCAGAGCAGGCCUUCCUGUGCGUGCAGUGCGGGGAAAGCUGCCCACAGGCGGCUCUUCUGAAGUCCCAGCCCGGCCAUGCCAUGGAGAGGCCCUGCGAGAGCGUCCAGUAUGGGAGAGGCCUCAGCCUGAACCAACAUCUCCUCAGACACCUGGAGCCCUGCCUGGGCCCUGGCGACGCGGCGCACGCAGCCCCCGGGGCAGAGCGGCCCUUCAUCUGUAACCAGUGCGGGAGCAGCUUCAGCUUUUGGCCGGCUCUCGUUGCCCAUCAGGGCAGCCACGCAGGAUGGCAGCCGUAUCCGCUUCCUGAACGCGGGAAAGGCCUCAGGCCCCGGCUGUCCCUGCCAGCCCAGCAGGAUGCGCAGGUGGGGGAGACAGCCUGGACGUGCCCCGAGUGCAGGCGGAGCUUCAGCCAGCACAGCCAGCUGGCAAAGCACCGGGAAAGCCACUGGGGCGACAGGCCCCAUCGGUGUGACGUGUGCGGGAAGAGCUUCGGCUUGAAAGCCAACCUGAUGACGCACCAGCGGCUCCACACGGGCGAGCGGCCCUUCGCCUGCAGCCAGUGCGGGCGGCGCUUCAACCAGAAGGGGAACCUGGUGACUCACUACCGGACCCACACGGGCGAGCGGCCUUUCGCCUGCCCCCAGUGCGGCAAGAGCUUCAGCCAGAAACCCAACCUGCUCGCCCACCAGAGAACCCAUGUGGGGCGGCGGCCCUUCGCCUGUGCCCAGUGCCCCAAGCGCUUCAAAGGCAAGAUGUCCCUGAAGAUCCACCAGCGUGUCCACGGAGGGGAGAGACCUCCCGCAAGGCCGCCGAGCGUGGAUCUGAUGGAGGCCCAUGCCGGGAAGAGGUGCUGUUCCCACUCGCCAUGCGGGAAACCCUUCAAGGAGCACGUCGCCCUGCAGCUCCCGCAGCGAGUGCCCGGUGGGGAGCGGCCGUACGCCUGCCCGGAGUGUGGGAAAUGCUUCCGGCAGAAGGUCACACUGGUCACGCACCUCCGGACCCACACCGGGGAGCGGCCAUUCCAGUGCACCCAGUGCGGGAGGAGCUUCAGCCAGAAGCCCAACCUCCUCACACACCAGCGGACUCACACCGGCGAGCGGCCCUUCGCCUGCACCGUGUGCGGGAAGGGCUUCAGCUGGAAGCCCAACCUGGUGACCCAUUACCGCACCCACACCGGGGAGCGGCCCUACAGCUGCACCGACUGCGGGAAGACCUUCAGCCAGAAGCCCAAUCUCCUCACUCACCGCAGAACCCACUCCCAGCAGAGGCCAUACGCUUCCCCCAGUGCCAUGCAAGCUUCCCCCACGGGGACACCUUCACCCUGUGCUGCGGUGGGGACUGGCCCCACGUGUGCUUGGCCUGCAGAGGGCACCUCAGCCACCGCAUCCCCCACGGCGGGGAGCUCCUGAAGCCAAGCAAGCAGAGACAUGGUGUCAAUGCAGCGGGGGUGACAGGAGCUUUGACGAUCAGAGAGCUCUGCGGGCGCAUCAGAGAGCACCCGUCCCCCUGUGCAAGCUGGAGCGAGUAGAGCGUGUGCCUGAUCGGCGAGCUGUACGGUGACUGGAUCUGGGAACCUGGGACUAACCCGUGCUGCUGCCGCACCCACGACACCAGACACGGACCGGGGAGUGUUACAGCCAGAAGCCAGAUCUGACUUCAUUCUGCACACACCGAACUUCAGAGAGGACACAGCUGCUGGCAGCGGGCAGGCCGGCUGAUCGAUCAGCACACAUUGCUGCAGAGUGCAGAGAGACUCCGAGUAGUGCUCGUCCGCAAGCCCCCCCGGCAUGCCAGCCGGGCACCGCUGUGCAGCAGGGUUCAUGGAGCGGGGUGCUCUGGAGGGGAUCCUGCCUCAGGCGGCGGGGAGUGAGGCUGUACACUCCACAGAUGGGACUGGGCUGCGAGAGCCGUGCGCACCCCGUCCCUCGCUCGUGGGCACGGAGCCGCUUCGUUCCCAGCCACUGAGCCGCACCGGUGAGGACCGCGUCCUGCUCUGGAUGGUGGUUAGCGCUGGGUGUGACAUGGACUUGUGCCUUCAGAGGAAGUUCUUCGGGGUGGGCACUCUUCCUGCGCCAGGGCGCUUGGUGCCACGCUGAUACCCACGAUAACUGCGCGUUUGCACUUGGUGUGGACACUCACUAGGUUACAGCUGUGGGAUGGCGUUUCAGCCCCCCGUGGUUGGUGAUCUAGGGCUGCCCUGUCCCACGACGGGCCCUGAUGUGCUGCCACUGGGCCAGGUGUGCGUUUCCAGUGUGCCAUGGAGCUGCUGGUGGCACGUCAGUUCCUUGGGGGUCAGCACCCUGAGGUGGGCCGGCAGAGCCUGGAGGACCGGUAAGGAUUGUGCGUGGCUCACUGAUCAGGCUCCUGGCUAGGCAGCCAGCUGGAUGGGACUGGCAGGGGCAGGAGGCUGCCGGAUGGGGCGGGAUGGCACAGUUGCUUAGCAUGGUUGGGGACCAUUUCUCUAGCAUGAAGCCAAACCUCCUGUGUACCCGCAGCCCUCUCAUCACCAACCAUCUCGUGCUGCUGCUGUGUAUUCACGGCAUGUCCCUGGUGGGAAAUGCCCAUGUCACCAUCCUUGCUAACCAGCCCCGCGCUCGCGCCGUCUUUCAGAGCCAGGGAGUCUCCCCCUGGUAUGUUCAUUUACAAUAAAAGCUUUGGGGCAGCA